Molecule: long non-coding RNA, 453 nt
Filed under: Brassica napus (rape)
Lineage: Eukaryota; Viridiplantae; Streptophyta; Magnoliopsida; Brassicales; Brassicaceae
Description: long non-coding RNA (BNAP_LNC007179)
Source: RNAcentral
AGUAUUUUCUGAUGGAUCACAGACCUCCAUAUCUGCAGUUUCCUGAUCUGACAAUGACGUUUUCUUCUUCUUUCUCUUCCGUUUUUUGCUCUUUACUUCACAUACACUUGCAGUUCCCAUACACUCUACUGGCCUACUUUCCAUGGAGGUUGCUAGAGUAUUUUCUGAUGGAUCACAGACCUCCAUAUCUGCAGUUUCCUGAUCUGACAAUGACGUUUUCUUCUUCUUUCUCUUCCGUGUUUUGCUCUUUACUUCACAUACACUUGCAGUUUCCAUACACUCCACUGGCCCACUUUCCAUGGAGGUUGCUAGAGUAUCUUCUACUGCCUCGCGUACCUCCGUUGUUUUGGUCUUUCUCCUCUUCUUUUUCUUGACUUUAGGAUUCUGAGUUUCGGACACAGUAUCAUCAGCUUCAGCAUCUGCUCCCUUUUGUUUAUCCACAGUACCAUCACC